UGGUUUCGGGUCUGGAGAGCUU
RNAcentral lists this small nuclear RNA (22 nucleotides) under Arabidopsis thaliana (thale cress). RNAcentral describes it as "snRNA_15069". Lineage: Eukaryota; Viridiplantae; Streptophyta; Magnoliopsida; Brassicales; Brassicaceae. The record is from RNAcentral.